This is a long non-coding RNA of Aquila chrysaetos chrysaetos, 5351 nucleotides long. RefSeq lists it as uncharacterized. The transcript has 3 exons. The record is from RefSeq and is a predicted model, not a curated record. NCBI's taxonomy places the organism in Eukaryota, Metazoa, Chordata, Aves, Accipitriformes, Accipitridae.
GUAAUCUCGAGAACUGAAGGGAUGGCUUGUGGCGCCGUUUUCUAAACCGCGCAAGCCGUCACUGGGACGGUCGCGCUGAUGUCGCUGCACCGUUGUGCCGGCUGCGCGGCGUUGUGCUGCGGGCGGGCGCUGCGGCUGCGUGCUCAAGCUGAGGCCCGCUCGCCACGCCGGCUUCCCGGGGAGCUGCGUACGCCUGCCGAGGCUCGGAGGGACCUCGUUAGUAUGUGCCGCUCCACCGGCAGGCCAUGGUGGUUACUCUGAGUUAUGUCCUCAGUUCAUCGAGUCUUCAAAGGGAUGACAGAUGGGAUAUCCAAAGAGACUUUGUUUUGCCGAUAAAUCAUUUUAAUCAGCAAACGCGUGUCCUAAUUCUAAAGAUAAAUUACCUUUUUUUCCUUUGGGGAAUCGGGCAAGUGUUGUAUGGUGACCCUGGCCAUGCCCUUUUUGGGUUGUAAACAGGGAUCCAGAAUGCUGGGUUCUGGCAGGGGCAGGACCCUGGGGUCUCAGCGGUCAUGCUCUCCUGCCAGGACGUAGCGCCAGUGCUGACCUCGAUUCCACCGAUAGGAAAGCGUGUCAGUAGGUUCCCCAGAGCGCGGCACAUGAGCUGGGGUUAAAGGCUGUACCCUGCUGGGGUACUCCUCUCCCCAGUUUGUUAGGAGCAGCAUAAUAGCCCUGCAAUCAGUCAUUCUUUGUAUGGGAACUUGCUUUAGGUAAAAUGGUCACACCUCUGUUUAACCUUGAUCCUGGCUGAUGCUGUCUCUAGCUUUCUCCCCAGGUAAUGAUAAAACCAGCGGCGAGGUUGCCCAGAACGCUGGUGCUUCUUUGACUGGCUGGCUUUCCCCAAGGAAGUGCUAAUGCUUUCUGCUGCUGGCUCAGCAGUGGAGUUCUCUGAAUCAAACAGCUUUUAUCUCCUUUUGUUUGCUCCUUUUAGGCAGCAAGUGAAGUUAAGAGAUGAGUUUGUUACUGGCUUUGGGAAUCUUCAAUCUGGACUCUGCCACACUGUUACCAUGCAAGCAGAAAGAUGUCACGUGAAUCCUGGAGCUACAGAAGUGCAAUUGAGAUCAAAUUACCUUGUCCACUGUCUUCGAGGCUUGUGUAUGCACACACAGCCAACAGUAGCCUCCAUGGAAGUGUGGGUGUUUAAGAAGGUGUGAGAUUACCAGACUGUAGAAGUUCAAGUUUAUCCUUUUUAUAUGAAGAUAAGUCUCCUAUGUAACAGAUACCACCCUUAGCCAGCACAGCACUGCAAGCUUGAAUACUAGCAGUUCCAGUUCCAUGUUUAUCUUUGGACACAGAAGGAAAAAUUUCACUAGAAGGUGGGUGUCGUAUGCCACGAGGCAGAAGACAUACGCUGUAAUUCAGAAGCCUAAAAGAUUAAAUAAUUGUCAGUCAUAAAUUGUUAAAUUAUUGUUCAGUUUUUCAAAACUUAACUUAAUACUAUACUUAAUAAUUUAUAACAGUAUUUAUACAUUGACUCAACCCCACUUAAAAUAAAACCAGUGUCAAAACUAAAUGUUUAAAGUAACUUUGAAUACAAAGGUAGAAAUCCAAGCCUUCUCGCCAACAGGACUGUUUUUCUUGGGGAUUUAACAUGAGGCAAAUAAUGGUUUGCAACAGAAGUAAUUCCUAGGAAGUCAAAGAAGUCUUACAAUUUAACCCCAUAUUGUUAACUCCUAUUCCUAUUCUAGAGAAACUGUUCCAGUGAUUUAAAAGUGUAGAGGAUUAGUAAUCCUGGCCAUCUGGGAAAAAAUGGAAAGACUGGGAACUUGCAAGCUCUGCCUGCCUGGAGUCUACCCAACCCCCUCCUCCCCCCAUAAUUCUUUUUGAGAAAGCAGGUAUAGAAUUUCUUUUUCAUCCCCUGUGCUAUGUUCCUUGGCACAAAGAGGUUGCAAAUUGCCUGUCUGGUUCCACAAUCAAAGGCUCGUAAGGAUUCUAAGAUGUCAGAGCAUGAUUUAUCCUACUAUUAAUAACUGGGAGAAAAUUAUUAAUUAAAAUUAAUAAAUAUUAGUGAAUAGGCUAUCAUACCAAUAGAAAUGUGAUGUAGGAAAUGCUUACUUUGACAGGCUACUGACAAUAAAAUACUAUGUGCACAUGCAAGACAGUACAAAUGACAGUACUGACCAAGACUUGCAGUGUGUAACUGUUUCAGUAUUAAUCAGGUGUUUUGAUUCUUAAAACACUCUGAGCUCCUAUGAUUUCUCUUAUGAAAUCUUACUCUUAACCUGGGGGGAAAAAAUCCUGCAGCUCACUUUUUUUUCAAAUUUGAACUAAUUUAUACCAGUAAAUUUUGAAAUUAUUAUUUUUUUCCACAAUAAAAAAUAGUAAUGAAUUUGUUGAAGAACUCUCACAUGAAAAUAAAAUUCAUGCCACUUUCAAAAGAUCUUUUUCAAAAAUAAAAAUGAAGCCCUGUUUUGAGCUGGGGAAGGAGAAGGUAAUUUUGUAUAAAUUAAUGUAAAUUUAAAGCUGAGCACAUUGUACUUUUCUGUAGUGUAUGUGAAAUUCUGUUAAUAGUUUGUAGUUGUGUGAAGGGGUAAAUACAUAAAACGCAUAAAUACAGGAAAACAUUUUGUUAAAGGCAACAACAGCUGGAUUUAUGACCUAUGUGUAAAGAUGUACAUGACUUGAUACCUUAUCAGUAUAGUUUUUAUGAAAAAGUGUGAUAAAAAUCUAAGUAUUUACACACUGCUUAUUAACUGAAAAUGCUGAUAGCUGGGAAGUGGUGAUGAAAAGGCUUAAAGUGACACAAGAUUUGAAAAGUAGAACCCUUUGCUUUUAUCAUUACCAGCUUCUGGGACAGUCUUUAGUUUUGAUUUUAGAAGAAUAUUUUGUUUGAGGUCUGCUAAACAGUGCUAGUGUUAAAAUCUUACUGAGAUCAUUACGAGAGUGUUCAGGGGUUUUAUUAUUAGUGAAGUUCUGAUCCAGAUUUAUCACUUGAAAUAAGUAAAAAUGUCUGAGGGAUAGAAAUUGGGUACUGUUACCAAGUUGGAGCCUUGUAUAUUCUUUUAAAAUAUAGUCUCUAUCUUUUCAUGUAAGACCAAUCCUAUUAUCUUUAAAAAUAUUCAUGUUUUUAAUUCUAAUUUAUGUGAAAAAUAUGAAAUCUCUUUACCUAUCGAUUACUAGUGUGUCGCUUGUCACAAUCAACAGAUCCAGAUAAUCUGCAUUUUCUUUUUCACAUGUCUGUACUAGACUCAGCAAUAUUGCGAGUUUAAGAGUAUUGUAAGUGCCUGGUGGAACAACUUGAGAAGCAAAUAUAUUGGCAAGGAUGGCAGUAAACCUCCAGCAUGAACUUGAAGUCAGUGAGAGCAGAUACUUAAAAUUGUCACUGACAAAAGAAGGACCUAAUGAAAACAAAGUACAGGUUAACAAACGAUAAGAGAGCUAUGCAGAUAUAUUAGAACAAAUCACCAUUCUAGUCUUGAUACAAAACUUAGAACAGAUGUGCUUAUGUAUUAAGCACAAAUUGAGAAUGUAAACAUCUGACAAUUUUACUGCUAAAAAGGCAUGAUCUGCUAAAACUGAUGGAAUAAGAAAGGAAUAACAAACUGAAAUAUCAGGUUCAUUUAAUGUAUGGUAUCAAAAUACUUUCCAGUGGAUAGAAGUUGGAAAGAGAAGUUGAAGAACUUCAGUAAAUAAUUAUGUAGUUUCCCAGUGCAUGGAAAGUAGGCAGAAGAAGAUAUUCUCAAAUAACCAUAAGCAUACAUUUCAGACUGUAAGAGGAAAGGUCCAGAGUAGUUUCGUAAUCUGGCCUCUAGAUAAUAGAAAACUCUACCAAUUCUCAAGAUUUUGUUCUAGAAGGCUUUCCAACUUUUAAAGUCAAUUUUUAAUGGAACUUUCUUACCAUUUGGUUUACAGAGCUGUACACUACUGACUUCUAUACAUGCUGUAGCUUGUAAGCCAUUUCGUACACAAGCUGGAAUUCCUAUAAUCUUGUAGUGGUUUCCUAUUUUCAUUUUAUUGGCUAGUUCAUCUAGAAAUAAAAAAAAAAGGGGGGGGACGGACCUGCAGAUGUGUUAGAGCAUAAAAAACAGUUUUAAAGACAUGGUCAGAAAACUUCCUUCACAUUCUGAACAAUUCGAUUUUACAAUUUAAUUGCAGAAAACAACAGUUGGAUGCCAGGUUCACCAUAAUGGACUAGAAUAAAAUGAAGCAUACAAUUUAAUUAAUUAAUGCAAAAGGUAAGGAAGGCACACGGGGUGAGGAAAAGUAGAUUCCUGAUAAUGAAAACAGAUCAUAGAUUUCCUUCAGCAUUGAAAAGAAAAUUGACAGUUGUUUGCAAAUAUACAUUUCCACUCUCAAACUUGUGGUGACACCAUUGUCAGUUACUGCCCUAUAAAAUGUCAGAGAAAAAAAAACCACAAUAAAAAGGAGAUCCAAAUUAAACAGAUUUCAAAAAGACAAAAAUAGCUUUGAGAACCUUUGUAUUUCCGUGCAUCUUUAAACAAAAAAAAAAAAAAAGAAAAAAAUCACAUUUAUUUUUUCAAAAUGAGAGUUAGGUCCAACCAAAUAUGCAUCUCAGCUGCAAUACCCUAUCUAACCUCACUGAUCACUGAAGCCAGGGGAAAUUUAAUUCAUGCACAAUGCACUAUCUCACCCAUACAUUCUUAUAACUUCAGUAGUAGUAGUAGUUUCUUCUAUUUAGUUUUCAAGAAGUGAACCAUAUAAUUCCAUAGACUUGGAAGGGCAGGGUUUGGGUUUUUUCUUAAGAGAAUUAAUGGAAGUAUAUUGGUGAGUUGUGAUUCUAGUUGGAUAUUCACAUUAGAAAUCAUUUAAUGUUUGCAGUGGAAGGUAGUGGUAGUAGAAGCCAAAAAUCCUGAUGGAAUGCGGAAAACAGCUAGAUUGAGGAAGGAUGUUAAAGACCCGUGAAGUUGUACAAAACAGUAUAACAAAAGGAAGUAGCGAGGACGAAAAAAACAAGCUGCAGUUCGAGUGCGAUACUGCAGAGCUGGCAAGGGGAUUUUAUUUAAAUGAAGGUAUAAAAGUGAACACCACAGUUUUGCCAUGUGCAGUCUUCAAUCAUCUGUGUAUAUUGUUUAGUCACCUAGCUAAUUUUAUGUAUCCCCCCCCCCAGUUUUGUUAAAGAACUGCAAUAUAAAUUAUGACUUUUACUAUUUUAUCCAGAGAAAUGGACUUACAAGGAAAAUGCAAGGGAUUAUUACAGUUCAAGUCUAAAAUAUUUUUGACAAAACUCCAAAACUCAGCUUACCUCUCAAGAAAACUGUAAAUGUCUGAAUCCUAAAAUGUGAUUUAUCAUUGGAAUAUCCUUUCAAAGCAUUAAGAACUUUUGCAUCAAUCAUUUCAACUAUUUGUUUAUCUUUCAAAAUAAAGGCAAAUAAAAGUUAGUUCUCUUGAAAACA